This 60-nucleotide transfer RNA is filed under the name Climacostomum virens. Lineage: Eukaryota; Ciliophora; Heterotrichea; Heterotrichida; Climacostomidae. The record is from RNAcentral.
UUGAUGUUUUCAGCACAUAGCAACGAACUAGUGUCGACGCAUGGCUACUCCCAGAACCAG